This 448-nucleotide ribosomal RNA is filed under the name uncultured soil bacterium. Its description in RNAcentral is "bacterial SSU rRNA". It matches the Rfam family "Bacterial small subunit ribosomal RNA", at positions 26 to 476 of the family's 1533-position model. The record is from RNAcentral.
AGAUUGAACGCUGGCGGCAUGCCUUACACAUGCAAGUCGAACGGCAGCACGGGGGCAAUCCUGGUGGCGAGUGGCGAACGGGUGAGUAAUACAUCGGAACGUGCCCAAUCGUGGGGGGAUAACGCAGCGAAAGCUGUGCUAAUACCGCAUAAGAUCUACGGAUGAAAGCAGGGGAUCGCAAGACCUUGCGCGAAUGGAGCGGCCGAUGGCAGAUUAGGUAGUUGGUGAGGUAAAGGCUCACCAAGCCUUCGAUCUGUAGCUGGUCUGAGAGGACGACCAGCCACACUGGGACUGAGACACGGCCCAGACUCCUACGGGAGGCAGCAGGUGGGAAUUUUGGACAAUGGGCGAAAGCCUGAUCCAGCCAUGCCGCGUGCAGGAUGAAGGCCGUUCGGUUGUAACUGUCUUUUGUACGGAACGUAAAGUACUCUUUACUAAUAAAGAGGAU